Molecule: long non-coding RNA, 15106 nt
Filed under: Glycine max (soybean)
Lineage: Eukaryota; Viridiplantae; Streptophyta; Magnoliopsida; Fabales; Fabaceae
Description: long non-coding RNA (GMAX_LNC002258)
Source: RNAcentral
UGGUUACUGGAGCUAAUGUGGAAAAAAUCCCAGGACUUAACACAUUGGGGGUGUCAUUCUCAAGAAUAGACUACAAAGCUGAGGGACUUAACCCACCUCACACACACCCUCGUGCCACUGAGAUUGUGUUUGUGUUGGAUGGACAACUAGAUGUUGGAUUCAUCACCACAGCCAAUAAACUCAUCUCAAAGUCAAUUAAGAAGGGUGAAAUCUUUGUGUUCCCAAAAGGUUUGGUGCACUAUCAGAAGAACAAUGGGGAUAAGCCUGCUUCUGUGCUUUCUGCCUUCAACAGCCAACUCCCUGGCACAGUGUCUAUAGCUGCAGCUCUUUUCACUUCAACACCAACUGUGCCUGAUGAUGUUCUUGCUCAGGCUUUCCAGAUUGAUACUAAGAAGGUUGAUGACAUCAAGGCCAAGCUUGCUCCUAAGAAGACUUAAUUUUAAGUUGAGCUUAAUCAUAUUCAAGAGAGAGAGCAAGAUUCAGUCUUUUAAGUCUACUUUCCCUAUACUUUUCCCUAUAAUUCUUGAAGGGUUAUGACUCAGUAUCAGUAUCACUUAUGGUGUUACAUUUUCCUCAUUGAUGUGGUAUCGAGUAUUAUAAUAUAAUUGUAUCGCGGAAUUAUGGUACAUGUUAAGAGUAAUCAAAAUUUAAUUCUAUAUACUGUAGAAGCUCUCAACUUUUUUGUGGGUAUAUAUAUUAAUUUCUUGUUUUCGUGGUUCAUUGAUUUUGUAUACACUGAUCAAUAAAGGUUGGACCUUUACCACUUCACUUUCUCUUUCAUGCUGGUUGGUAGUUAAAUCAGUUUGGUAAGAUGCGGACAUCUUAAAGUUGGAGGCACUCAAAAUAUUUUUUGUUGAAAAUUAAUUUCACUUUUCAAUGACCUAUAAUUAAAAAGAAAAAAGAAAAAAAAAAAAGGUAAUGGACUGACUAAAGUGAGUGAUUUAGAUAGAAAAAGAUAUCCAUGCAGAUUAAAUAUCCAUGUGCCGUUUUAUAAAAUUAAAGAAAACCAAAGAGUCCCCUCGAGACAAGAAGACAGCUUAACUUGUUAAGUUGUAAGUUAUGAAUUAUAAGUACACACAAGUUUCAUUUAUAAUUUGCAGUGUGCUCCAUUCCUCUCCUUUCUCAUUGCCGCAGGUUAUAAGUGCACACAUGCAUGCAAUUAAGUUUGAUUGGAUCACUCCAUUGAAAUUGAGUCAGAUUUUAAGCAUAAUGCAUGUGUGUUUUUGUUUGAUUUGAUUUAUUUAGUUGUUCUUUCGAAAUUAAGAAGUACUUAGAAAUGAUGGUCCGAACCAUCCAAUAAUUUCUGAUCCAUAUGUGUAUGUUGUGUAUUUUUGUUUUAUAUCUUUGUGCUAGACAGUACCCUUAGGUAGCAAUGGUGGCACCAGAACCUUCAUAAACCUCUGUCAAGGAAAAACUGAUGAUGAAGCAGCUAGCUAACUGCAUUGUACCAGUAGGUAUGGUAAGGCAUUGAGUGUUGAACGGUAAAAACGUUAGGUUUAAACUUUGGCAUCUCAUUCUCAUGUGAUGCGUUACCGCUAAGAACAUGGAAGAUUCCAAACAACAACAAUAAUAGCAGCAGCAGCAGCAGCUGACCGAAAGAGACGUGUUCCGAUACACGAAUUAAGAUCAACUAGUUCAAUCUGAAAGCAAUAAUGUCAGAGUAACUGUAUAUCAUCAUGGUUUAAAAUAAACUAGAAUAGAAUGAGAUAUGUUUUUCUUUUAUAUUAAACAAACAAAAUGAUAAGGUGAUUAUUGGUAAAUAAUAAAUGAAUUUAAUUUAAAUAAAUUAAGUUUAAACAUUAUUUAUUGGUUUAAUUAUCUUUUCAUUUAUAUAUGAUAAAAUUAAGCUUAUAAGCCUUUAAUAGCUUAUAAAAUGACCGUUAGGAGCUCAAAAACUAGAACCUUAGAAGCUAAAUGAUUAGUUCCUAUAUUUUAUUAUCUUAUUUUGGUUACUUGUAGUUGUAAUUUUUUAUAACUCCUUUUAGUUUACUGUCUAAAGUUUAAUGUCAUUAUAUCGUGAUUCCUUAAAAUUGUUACAAAGUUAAAAUUGUUUUAAUUUAUUUUGGUUUUUUAUAGUCAAUUUUAGUUUUAAAGUGAUCUUAAAAGAUCUAAACGUAAUGACGUUAGACGAUUCUAGACAACAAGAGUCAAAUUACAACUAUAACGACCAAAAUGUAAUAUUUUAAACUACAUAAAUAAAAAAUUAUUACAAUAAGAACCAAAAGGAUAAUUAAAUCUUAUUUAUUAAUCAUAGAUUUUCAUAUUCCCUUUUACAAUAAGUUAACAAUUUUAUCCUAAUUACAGUUACACUAGUAGGAUUUUAAUGGCUUUGAAGAGAAAUCAAACUUACAUCCAUGGAGAGGAUGAGAUUAACUAUGUGAGAAUUAGCUAUGGAUCGUUUCCAAUAUACUUCUUUCGUCUUUAAUUAUAAGACUUUUUUUAAAUUUUUUUUAUAAAACUCUUUUCUAAUUACCAAAUGUAUUAAUUAUUUUUUAUUAUAUAUUUUUACUUAAUUAUUAUUUUCUAAACAUCAAUGAAAAAUAAUUAAGUGGAUAAAAAAAUAAAAAUAAUAAUUUAUAAUAACAUAAAUAGUUGACAUAUUUGAUGUGAUUAACUAAACUAACUAGUUAAAAAAACGAAUUAGUUAAAAAAAUCUUAUCUUCCACUUAAAAGAUAAUAAAUUUUUAUCAUUUCACUAAUUUGGAAAAACCAUUUUUCAUAUGGGCCUAACAGUGAAAGCAAUGGUGGAACUGAACCGGUGCGUGUCGCUUCUAAAGGGCCCUAUGCCCCCAUCAAUUUCCAAAGGUUGUUCAGGUUUGGCAAUUGAGUCUGUUAAUUUCUCUUAAAACUGACUCAAAAGAUAAUAUAAUUAAUUAAAUCCAAAUUGAAUUUGCAAAACUUUAAUUUAGGUCAUACAGUUACAUUAAUUUAAUAUUAUUUGAUAAUUUAAUUACAAACCAAAUAACUUACUGUAUUAGAAAACUAUCGAACCACAAACAUGAUUGCUAAUAUUAGUUUUAAUUACUAUUUUGAUAAUUUAAUCAUGAUUAAACUAAAUAGUAUAAGAAGGAUAGUCAAAUCAGAAACAUAAUUGGUUUACUGUUUGAACUGAAUUUCAUGGAAGCAAAAAGAGAAAAAUGGAGGAAAAAAGAUAGAAGAUGAGCUCUCGAGUUCACCACAAUGCAUGGAGAUCAAGUCCUGAUCUGUCUUUAAUCUUGCAUCUCUCACCAAACUCCUCUUCAUUAGAUAGUCAAUGUCUGCAUAUUCCCUGCAAGCAACAAACUAAUCUAUACGUUGAUUUCUAUUUACAUUAAUAUUUUUCUUUUCUAGUAGAGACUUAAAAAGUGUAUUUUUAUUUUUAUUUCUGUGGAAAUGGACUUAAAAAGUUUAUAGAAUUCCUGUCAAGUCUUUUUACACAAUUGCUUUGAAUUUAAGUUUAAGGACUGCACUAAUACUUUACCAUCACAUCUCUCCCAUCUACUCUGCCCAUAACCACUGCCUGUUUACAAAUGAUGCAUAUAUAAAGAGAGUAACUUGCCACAUUUCUCACCAUCCAACACAAACAUUACACUCUCUUCUCUCUAGCUAUAAAAAAUAUACCUUUUCAGUUUCCACUCAUUGAUCUAAAGCCUUACUCUUGCAAUCAAUACAAUUAAGUAUUAUUCAAAGUCCCAACCAUGUCACCAACAAACACUUUUGCAAUUUUGGUCUUCUUCUGCUGUGCCAUUUCCUUUACCUUCGCUUCUGACCCUGACACACUUCAAGACCUUUGUGUGGCACUUCCCUCUUCAGGUAAUAUACUCCCUCUAUUCUAGAUCAUAAAAUGAUUUAGAGAGAAAAAUAUAUAUUUCAAAUGUCAUUUUACAAAAUCAAUGUUGCAUAAUUGUAUUUAAUACCUUCUUCUAAGACUACCCUUAAUCAAUACUUAAUAGGAGUAGUGUAUAGGAAGAGUAAAUGAGUCAUUAAUUAGAGAGAUAAAUAGUAUAUAUUAGAAAGUUAUUAAUGUUUUCUUUAAAAUUCAACAAAUUAAUUACAUUCCUUGAUACUUGUACCAAAAUCUUAAACUCACAUAAUCUGGAAUGGAGGAAUUACAUAACAAAUGAAUGUACCAAAUUGUGUUUAGGAAAAGAGUACAAUGAUGUGUAAUUAAUUAUGUGCAGGUGUGAAGGUGAAUGGAUUUGCUUGCAAGGCUGAGUCAAAUGUAACAGAAGCUGAUUUCUUCUUUGCUGGUUUAGCCAAGCCUGGAGCUACCAACAACACAUUGGGAUCUGUAGUUACUGCAGCCAAUGUGGAUAAAAUUCCAGGACUCAACACAUUGGGAGUGUCAUUCUCAAGAAUAGACUACAAAGCUGGGGGACUUAACCCACCUCACACACACCCUCGAGCCACUGAGAUUGUGUUUGUGUUGGAUGGACAACUAGAUGUUGGAUUCAUCACCACAGCCAACAAACUCAUCUCAAAGUCCAUUAAUAAGGGUGAAAUCUUUGUGUUCCCAAAAGGUUUGGUGCACUAUCAGAAGAACAAUGGGGAUAAGCCUGCUUCUGUGCUUUCUGCCUUCAACAGCCAACUCCCUGGCACAGUGUCUAUAGCUGCAACUCUUUUCACUUCAACACCAACUGUGCCUCAUAAUGUUCUUUCUCAGGCCUUCCAGAUUGAUGCUAAACUGGUUGAUGACAUCAAGGCCAAGCUUGCUCCUAAGAAGACUUAAUUUAUGUUGAGCUUAUGAUAUUCCAGAGAGGAAGAUUAUGAUAAUAGUUUCAUAAUUAAGACUACUUUCCCUAUAUUUUUCCUAUAAUUCUUGAAGGGUUAUGAUUCAUUGUAUCACUUACCGUGUUGCAUUUUGCUCAUUGAUAUUACGUCGAGAAUAAUGAUGUAAUUGUAUCGUGGAUUAUGGUACAUGUUAAGAGUAAUAUAAAUUCUAUGAAGUAGAAGCUGUCACCUUUUAUCUGGGUAUUUUCAUUUCUUUGGUUUUGUGGUCAUAGAUGUUGUAAACACAGCAUAAAGGUUGGAUCUUUACCAUCUCACUUUCUCUUUCGGGUUGGUUAGUGGUUAAAUCAGUUUGGUAAGAUGUGGACAUCUUAAAAUUGGAGGCACUCAAAUUAUUAUUUUGAUAGAAAAUAAAUUUCAUUAUUCAAUUUCCUGUACAUUAAUAAAAAAAACUUUAAACACAUUUAUUUAGUCCUGUAAGAGUGGCAGAAGCUCAAUUUGAUUUCUAUAAAUAAUGUGAAAUCUGAUUUUAUUCGUACAAACAUUAUUAGUUUAAUUUUGAUCGAUUUUCAUCAUGAUAUGUCUCUUAUGGUUGAACAUUGACUUCUUAAUCCCUUAAUCUCUUAUGCACAAGCUAACUUAACUUAUUAAGAUCCACUUAUAGAUUAAAAAAGAGAAUCAUGAGAACUGAAACUCAUGGAGUUUAAUAAUUUUCAAUCACACAAAGUGUUACAGAGAAUAUCCUUAACAUUUUCGUUUGGAAUUAUAAACGUACACUAAUUAUAUUUUGCAAGCAUAGGAUCAAUGGAUUGAAUUUUCGGUAAUACAAUAUCUUAUCAUAAUCUAAAACAUAAUUUAUAUAUUUAAAAUAUUUAUAUAUUAUAAAUUUAAUUAUAAUAUAAUAUAUCAAAAAAAAUAUUUACUAUAAAUUUUAAUUAUAUAAAAAUAUAUUUAUCAUGUGCAUCACACAUACUAGAAUAUUUAUACUUAUAUUAUAAGUAUGAAUUUUCAUCCAUGAAAGAAAAUAUUUUAAAUAAUUAUUUUUGAAUGAGAGCAAUUUUAGGAUUUUUUUCUUGGAUGAGAGUUUUUAAGAGUUAUUUUCAUUUUCUUUAAACAAUUGUUUUAUUUAUUAUUAUUAUUUUCAUUUCAAAUAUAUUUCUUAAUUUUAAUCUGAUUUAUUAUCUCAAACAAAAAAAAUGAAUCAAUUUAAACUAUUAGCCAUGUAUAUUUUUUUUUGGAUAAUUAUCAUUGUAUCUUUAUCGAUACAAAUGAUUUUUUAAUCAUUUAUCAUUUCUAACACUACUAGAAAAAUUGUGUUUUACGACACGGGCACUACGACGGUUAUUGGGGGAACCGCCUUAAAAAGAUGUGUGGUGGCUUUUUUGUAAUUAUUUGAACAAUAAUAGGAUUUUACGACAUUAAAUCUAAGAUGGUUAAUUAAAACUGCCUUAGAAUGUACUUUUUCAAUUAAUUUUACGACGGGUUUAAUAAAAAAACCGUCUUAAUUUGUUUGGGUUAAAAUAAAUCCUUUCGCGCUUCCUCACCUCUUUCCCCUUUCGCACUAAACCUCACCUCUUUCCCCUUUCGUGCUAAACUCUCUCUAACCUUAGUCUCGCUUGUAACCCUUUUGAACCUCUUGCCCUUUCGGGCUCAAACCUUGCUUGUAGCUUCUAACCUGUCAGCACUUGUUGCUUACCUCUUGCCCUUUCACGUUGAAACCUUGCCUCUAGCUUCUUUUUCAACCUCAGCACCUCUAGGUUUUUCUUCAAACCUAGUCGCGCCCACGCAGCACCUUCGUUCCUUGCCUCUAGCUUGAUUCUGUUCGACAACCUCUUCGUUCCUUCCCGACAAGGCUUUCGCAGUACCCCUAAAACUUCUGAAUCAAGGACUGCCAGCAGGGCUUUCGAUCCAACGUCGGCAACAAAGACAUUGGUCUGACUUCGAAGAAAGCAGGUUAGUCAGUUAAUUACUUACUUCGAUGAUGUGAUUUCCCUUUUUCUUGUUUGAGAAGACAUUGGUGGAUGGCAUUCUUUUGAACAAAUAAAAAAAAUCUAACGGUUUAGAAGUUGUCUUGCACCGGGAGGAGACUUAGGCUAGUGAUCCACGCUAGCUUAUGUCCUAUAAGGUAUACACUAUACAUACCUUCUUUCCGUCGCAAAGUGACUGACAUAACCUUUUAAAGGUUCAAAGAACCUCCCUCGCCACCGCCGUGGAACCCUAGCCUCAGCUCCCUCGCCGCCUUUCGCCGGAGUAUCACCCCAACGCCAUCUUCGCUGGUGAGUUGUUCUUUCUCGUUACCACUUGCCCCUAAAUGUUCUUCUUACUCAGAAAUUAGGGAACACUUUGCACACAAGCCUCACUUCACUUUCAAAAUCAUCCUCUGUCUUGUUCGAUUUCUCCCCAAACCUAAUUUCUCAUUCAAUGCCAUGGUUUUGAAAAUUUCAAUACGAAAGUGAUUUUUUUUCUCGGUUGUUGUAUUUCUACUGUUAAUUGCUUUUAGUUCCUAUUUUGUUUUUCGCUGCUCAAUGACUCUAACACUAUGCAGAGAAAUCAUCCACCAAAAGGCCUAACGCUAUGAAGACGCCACAAUCUGCCUCUAAAUUGAAAAGGUAAUACAAAUUGUUUUGUUUGUUCUAAUUGGAGUUAGUGCGUGUUUUGUUUGCUUAUUUUGAAGAAAUAAUAGCUUUUUGAGUGAAUGUUUUAAGAACAAGCAAUUAUUCUUAGAAAUAAUCUCUUACGAUACUGCACUUAUUAGGUUGAUAAUUAAUAGGGUCACCUUGUGAAAGCUCUCUUAUUUGUAUAUAGAAGUAUACCAAUGGGGUUAUGCUAUUAAACUCCUUCACUACUCUAGUAAACUUUUGAACAUAUCCCUCAUCAAUUGAAGUAGCCAAAUCCAUUGUGAUGUCAUGGUCCCAGAAAAUUUCCAUUAGCAUUGUACAGGAGGGAAAAUAUCAAUAUGUUUGGACUACAUUAAAUCUUGUCUAUUUUUGCUUUUGGCUAUAUUGAUAUAAUACGUAUCGGGGUUAGUUAGAAAAGUAGUUGUUGUGAGUUUAGGAUUAGGGAUCUAAUUGAGUCCUUCCUAGGAAUUGUUCUGUGGUCCAAUCCUAGGUACUAGAUAAACAAAAAAGAAAUUAUAUUGUUUUUAGCAGAUUGAAAACUGAGGUCUAAUUGAUUUUUUAAGAAAGACAAAGUCCAUUUAUAUAUAUAACGUAUAGUCUGGUCCUUGCUCAUUAUUUGUUAAGUUUACCUGGUGAAGCUCAGGUUACCAAACUGAGUGUUAGAAGUCUUCAUAUUUGUCAUAGGUGAUUCUGUUUGUUCUUAUGAAUAAAUGCUUGAGCUAAAAACCUUAAUAAUUGUGUACUUUGAAUUUUCACUUCUAUUUCCCCUUUAAGUUUUAGUGGCUUAUAGCUCAUUUAAUGGUUGUGAAUUUCAUUCAGUCUUUCCCCUUGGUGUGAGAUUUAUAUUGUGUGAAACCAUAUAUGUUACUUUUAUUGCCUGCUAUGCUGAUAUUUUUUCUGGUCUUGAAAACUAAAUUAUUGAGAAUAAGGAGAAGACCUUAUAACCUCAUAUAUGUAAAGAAAAAUGCAUCUUUGCAACUGGAUAAAAAGAAUAAGAAAAUUUUUAAUUUUAUAAUAAGGGUGAAAAUUUUAUGGAUGAAAUAUAUACGAAACAUUGUAUAUGUGUGAUUUGCUUUCAUUUGAUCUAUACAGUUGCAUAGAAAUAACAUUAUUUUUAAAUGCAAUAUUGCAAAUGUGGAAUAUGUUAUGAACCUUAUAAAAUUUAGGUUUUGGUUUUUCGAUAAUAUCAAGUUCAAAGGUGCUCUUGGUCACUUGUUACAAAAGUAAUUGAAAUGCAUUUAAAACCUUCAGAGAGUUAAUCAUAUUUGGAUUCAAUAUGUCAAUUCUAUGUAAAGGGAAUUCAGAGUGGAACAAUUCUGUUGCAUGCAUUGGUGAGACAACUGCUACAAUGGCAAGAAGUUUAGGUUUGACAAAUGUGUACUUAAGAAUGACUCUAUUUUUAAUAAUUUAUCUUUAAUCUAAAUUCAUUCCUUAAAAAAAAAAUCAAAAUGCUAUAAACUUUAUUCCAUUUUGAAGUAACUAAUAUAAAACUUGAGAUUCUUCACGAAUCAGAAGUGAUUCUCAAACUUUCCAAAACCUGCACAUAAAUCUUUCCGUUCAUUAUUUACAUGUAUACUAUAAUGAAGGCAUUUGAACCUAUGCAUGCAAAGAUCCUGACUUAAAGCCUCCAACAUCAUCUCAUAAUGCAUCAACUACACCAUUUUCCACAUCUGCUGGUGAUGGGGUGCCAGAGAUAGCCACAGUUCAAGCAAUGGACCAGCAUAACUUUCAAUACCAGAUGAAUCAAAGGAAAAACAUCUCCCAAAACCCAAUUCAAGAUCACUUUCACCUUAUACCACGUAAGCUGCUUCUGACUUGCCUUUAACAUUUUAAUUUUUCUUUUCCAAAGACUCUUCAUUCCUUAAUGUAAUGCAUGUCGAGUAAUUAAACUUCAGAAAAGAGAUAUAAGGGGGCGGGGGUAUCAGCUAAUGACUCAUUGCCCUGUAUAAUUGUGAGUUUUAUUUUGGUUGGAAAUUCAAGAGAGUAAAGAAGUCAUACAUUGGUAAUGAAUAGACUUAAGGUCAGAAGGUGGAUAAACCAAACACAUCAAGGCUUUUGGGUCAAAAUGUUAUGUCAAGUUCACUUUCACUAGUAUGGUUUCUGACCCAACAUUUUUGCUAGGCUAGCAGUCUUUUGUUCAACUUGUAUGAAUUGAUUGCGUUUCAUGGGCAUAUUUUUUGACCCAACAUUCCUUUAGGACAACAUUAUGAUUUCUUUAGUUGUUGCAGAUUUUUGUGGACAUGGAUUAAAAUUGUGGCUACUGCAUCGAAUUUGGUCAGAAGUGGUUGACAGCAACAUUGAUCUGCUGCUGUUAUCCGCAGUUCAAUGUUCUAUGUCAUCAAUGUGCCUAAUCACACCUACCAAGUUCCCAAUUGGAAAGUUUCCAUUAUUCAAGUAUGUAUUUAGUUAAAUAUCAACAAUUGUUCAAUUCAAUAUACAGCUUCCUUACACAUCUGCGUGAGCAUGAAGUUUUUUUUAUUUCCCUAGUUUGCAACUGAACCUGCCAUUAUUAUUCUUUGAAUUGAUGACAUGAUCAAGCUUAUCAAGGAUGAAAGUCAAAAUGAGGAUUAAAGUAUAACUGAAUCUAGGAGGCAUUUAUCCCCAGUGCUUACAGAAGCUUGUUGUAUCACAGGAUCCUUGUUGCGGCACUAUUACAUAGUCAUUACGACGGUCUUAAGAAAGGAUUAUAUGUUCAAUGAUUUGAAUUGUUUUUGAUUUAAUUUAGUUAAUAGCUAGCAAAAAUUGUUACAUAUACAUACAUGUAUUGUAAUUAAUGGUCCAAUAUUUUCACACUUGUCAUAUGUACAUAAAUGAUUUUAUAAAUAUUCAAAAUCAUGAUGAUGCUUUUGGUUGGCAUAAUGUGCGUCUUAUUUAAUUUAUAGGUACCAGAGACCAACGUAAAAAAAAUGCAUCAAAAAAAAAAUUAGACAUACUAAGACGGUUCCAAUAACCAUCGUAAAAUGAAAACACAUACAAAGACGGUUUCCGAAAAAACAUCUUAGUAUGUCAAAGUCUUGACAUGCUAUCUACGACAUUUCCUUACAACUGUCAUAAAAUAAUGUAUAUACAAAAACGGUUGAACGAAAACUGUCUUAGUAUGUAAAUUUUGGCUGUUAGAAUCUAAGACGGUUCUAGGAUAAUCGUCGUAAACAACAUGCAUCUACUAAGACGAUCUGAAUGAACCGUCUUAGUAUCCCAACAUGCAUCUACUACAACAUGCAUCAUUGAACAUAUAUCUUAUGAGUGAAACAAGUUACAUAUGGAUACGAUACUCGAUUCUUACUGUUUUAUAUUACUUGUGCAACUCAGUACACUUGCUGAUUAACAUCGUAGAAUAUUAGCAAACAAGUUUUUGCUGUGAACAAUGCCCUCAGAGCUAUUCUUUUCUAAGCCAUGUAGCGCCUCUAGGAUUUGCACAAUUUGCUCUUUCAUCUAUUUGACAUUGUUUCUCAACUCCUCGUGGCGCUCUUCUAUCUCAUCCAUAAUCUUUUUCUUGGGACCACGUUCUAUAGGGGUGUCGAGGAUACACUUUCUUUCUUGAUUUUAGCGUUUCUGUGUAGAAAAAACCAUAAGCAAAAGAAAUAAGAAACAAGAAGACUGAAAAAACCUAGUGUUCAAUUUUGAAGGAGAUUCCCCACAUUUUGGCACUAGAGGUAUGUUCCCUCUUAGGCCGCCAAGUGGUUGACACUCAUUCCAAGGGAGUAUUUCUUCCUCAAUAGAAGAGGUCUCAUAUGUUAGCAAUAUAAGGUGUGCCCCACAUUUCCAAUCAAGGACUAAACAUCUCAAGUUAAAAAUGUGGUUAACAAUUACCCAAGGGGAAAUUCUCUCCUCGAUGAAUAAUGUUUAGAACAAAAGUGAAAAAAUCCAAGCUCAUUUUGUUAAUCGAAAUAUUGAAAUACAAUCUCUUUUUGAAAUGGAGUACACGAAAUUGCAUCUCAUUCUACAUGAAGCUUCUACUUAGAUUUUGGAAAUACUUUAAUAACUGAAAACCCCCCAAAGGAAGCUUUAUCUUGGAUUUGAGUUGAUCUCCUCAUUGACCACUUAGACCUAUGCUACUAAGUUUGUGACAUGAUGCUAAACACAAUGAGUCAUAUCUUCAAAAGUUUUCAUCCACCCAUUCUUCUUUUCAAAGUGAUGCUUGGAACCAAGUGUAACCCUUGGAUGUCAGAGCUCAACUUGUCUUGCUCACAUGCCAACUCAACAAUUGUUUUUUAAAGGUGUUUCCCUUUUUGAUUUGAUUAUGGGAUGAAGUUAAGAUAUUCUUUAACUAAUCCCCAUCCUUUCUCUGCAUCAAGGCCUCUCUCAACUAACUCUUUGCUUAGGCACUCCAAUCUUUGCUCUUGAAUACAUUUUUUUAUCUCCAGGUCUUCUUUUUCUUUAUAAAUUUUGGCCAUCUCUCUUUCCAUUGCUUCAACUUUAUCUUGCAAUUCCAUCAUAAUAGAAAUAGCAAUCUUCCUUACCUUCUAGGCAUGGUUGAGCUUUCAUGGUCGUCAACACACUCAUCUUUUAAGUGCCCUAUCUCUAUCUUUCUUUUGGCACUAUUGCUUGAGAAUUUCUAUUUUUAUCUUCACACUUUCUUCUUUUUCCUUCAUAACCUCAUCUAAGCCCACAAGAUUUCCAAUCGAGAAUUCAAAGAAGCAAAAUUUUGACCAGAUUCUCGAGAUAGACUCUCUUCAUGUGAGAUUUCUUUGCAAAUAAAGACUACUAUGGCUUUCCUUUAUUCUUUAUACUCUUGUGAGGUAGUCACACGAGGUUUUACAAGCUCUUUUUCCCCUUUCUUUCUAACAUUUCCCCAAGCCAUUCUGACUUUUACUUGUUGCCCAUGACUAUCACCUGAAGCAUACUGGAAAAUCAAACCUCUUAAUUCUUCAACAUUUGGCAUAACUUGAGUCCAUUUGAGUUGCCCAAGAGCUACUAUCGAGGUGUAGGCUAUGCAUCCUUUUGGCCCUAUUAACGACACAUUUGGAAAAUAGCCACAACUAAAAAUCCUAUCAUGGGAAUGAUACCAAAGUCAUACCCAUUGAAAAUGUUCCACCUCCAAUUUUGAUAAAUCUUUGUUCCACUCCAUAGCUUCUUGUUUCUUCAAAAGGAUGUGAUGAAAACUUCUCAAAGGAUUCAGAAAGUAACCCAUAUGAUUGGAUGCAUAUAAAUGAGUCACCAACCAAACAAACAACAAGUAAUCACAACAUCGUAGCAUCUCUCUCUUCUUCUGGUGGCAUAUCUCCAUGGAAAGGAAUGUAUUUGCCAAGAUAGCCAAAAUUGGAUUUUCUCCUCGAGUUUCAUAAGCAAAGAAUACAUCCAUGGUUGUGUGAUCGAUCAUGCCUAUAGUGAAUGGGAAAAUAAUCAAUCCAUAAAGAAGUAAUGCUAGAGUUGUAUUAAAAAAUUCCCAAUUCUUCUUUUCGGCUAAAGUCUCCAAAUAAUCUUCUAGGAAAUUUCUAUUCCACCCUUGGAUUGUUUCUCUACUUUCGAAAUCAGUUUGACCCAUUGGUAGGCCAAUCAACUCGACUACUUUCCUCUUGGCUACAUAACUCCCUUAAUAGAGAUACACCCUGGCCUUUUUGUUAGUUGGCAACUUCAACAUGAUUUUGUACUCCUCUAUUGUUGGUACAAGGUCAAAAGCAAGUAGCUCAAAACAUCUCAAGUUCGAAUUCCAAAAUUGAGCUAAAGUGCUUAGUAUCGAGGCUUUAAUGGGGAUCGACAAUAAAUCCAUAAUUUGACAAUAUUUCUUCUCAAAACUCAUGCAUGCUUCCUUGGUCAUCUUUCCAUGAAUAUAAUUUAUUCUUUAAAAAUCAUUUUUUAGCCCAUUAAUUCUUAUGUUCUUUCCAGGCCUCGGUGUAUUGCUAGCAGGAUUUUGAAUCUCCUCCAUGUUAAACACUACUAAACUUGUGUAUUCUAAAAUCAGAAAGUAAGAUGAAAGAUAUACAACACAUGGAUGUAACCUACAUGUACAUGGUCCUAAUAUGCAUGCAUGAUUUUCACUUGAAUGAAAUGAUGAGUUCUAUUUAUUUAUAAAUAAGCAUACGCAUAAAUCAUAAGGUGCAACAUGAUGCAUGUGAUAAUAAAUUUUUUUUAGGUAUGUUUGAAAUAAAGAAAAUAUAUGCCUAGCUAAUUAUGAAUGCAUGAGGUGCAUAGGAAUGAAAGGAUAAAGAAAAGUACAUCCCUUUCUGACCUAUCAAGGUAAAAACCUAGGGUAAGGUAUUCAUUAAGGUCAUGGCUUUGAAUUUUGGUGGUAACUAGUUCAAUUGUCAGUGAACAAUUUUCAGGUGGAGCUAUAUUCUUAAAGAUUUAAGAGGUCCCUAGAUUGCUUUUAUUAGAUAGACAAAGACCCAACCCAUGAUUCAAUCACAAGAAGGAAUAAUAUCCUUUCAAUAUGAUUGUCUCAUGAUAUUGGUAACAAUCUAAGCGGUAACCCAACAACUGUCAAGUGGACAUAGGCUUGGGUAUAAAGCCCCAAAAGUGUGUGAAGUAAGUGAUUGUGAAAUGUGUAAGGGAACAUACAAACAUUUGAUCCUAACAACUAUCCAAAUCUGUACAAAAAAGAAACAAACAAAUGUAUACAAAGUAAUAAUCUUGUAUCCUAAAGUUGAGACAAAGCUAAAAAAAAUAGAAUAUCUAAAAAUAGAGCACAAUACACAAGAAAAAGAAAAUAGGGGUAAAACAAUAUAUUUUUAAAAAUAUAAUUUUGUGCAAUCAAUCAUAUAAGGCUUGACUCUCUUAAUGUCCCUAGUGGAGUCGUCAUAUGUUGCAACUGUGGUAACGACAUAGAUGAUGUAAAAUAAAAAUAAAAAUGGAUUUGCCACCAACAUUUUAUUUGGAAAGAAAAACAUUGGAAAAUCCUUUUCAAAAUGAUCUUUGAAAUCAAAGAUAAGUUCGGGAGUCGAUUACGUGUAGGGAAGAUAUUAGCACCCUACAAAAGAAAAUGAUACAUUUAAUUAUUUACACAAGAUUAUAUAAUUUUAUACUCAUUUGUUUCACCCCAAAAGGAGAACAUGUUUACUUGUCAAAUGAACAUAACUCUAUGCCAAAAGUUUUAGAUAGCAAACGAUUAUUCUAAAAACAUUCAUGAUUUAAGCAAAAUUAAAAGGUAGAAAUGUCACUCAAUUAAUGUCGUACACAAUUGCAUAAGUUCAAUUAUUUUUCUCACACAAAUAAAAAUUUUAAGAUUAUCUUAUUAAAAGACCGAAAUCAAAUUUUAGUAUCUAAAUCAAUUUUUAUGCACAAGGGUUUAUGAUAGUAAAUGACUAUUCUAUAAAUGCUAAUGAUAAGUAAUAUCAAAGGUAGGACUGCUACUCAAUUGAUAAUUGCAAAUCAUUGCACAAAUUGAAAUAAAUAUUUUAUUUGAAACCAAAAGAGAAAGAAAGAAAAACAAAAACUUUAUUGUACAAAUAACCAAAAUAGAAGACAAAACCAGUUAGACAAGAAUCCAUUUUGUGCCUAUACUCUUGUCUUUUAAACACAAGGAAAUCAAAAGCGAAUGAAACAAAUUAUAUUAUAAGCCCUCUUUACUAUUUUAGAAACAAACUAAAAAUUGCACAUGCAUAGACCAAGUGUUGUGUAUAAGAAACAAAAUUAAUGCAUUAAAAAUGGAAUAAUGCUUAUAACAUUGCAUGUCUAUUGUUUACAUGAGAAUAAAGGAAAAAGAGAAAAAGAAAAAAAAAAAGCAUACAUAAAACCACUAUCACGCACAUCGAGGAAAACACACCUCUUAGAUAUGAUGAUCAACGUCUGAACGUGAGAGAUGCAAUAACGAUGUGAAGAUGAUACAUUUACGGUAGUCUAUU